RNAcentral lists this ribosomal RNA (465 nucleotides) under uncultured bacterium. RNAcentral describes it as "partial 16S ribosomal RNA". It matches the Rfam family "Bacterial small subunit ribosomal RNA", at positions 28 to 507 of the family's 1533-position model. The record is from RNAcentral.
GACGAACGCUGGCGGCGUGCUUAACACAUGCAAGUCGUACGGUAAGGCCCUUUCUGGGGUUCACGUGUGGCGAACGGGUGUGUAACACGCCUGUAACCUUCCCUCAACUUUGGGAUAACGCUAGGAAACUGGUGCUAAUAAUGGCAUUGUUCUUCUGCUGCAUGGUGGGGGUUGGACAGCCCCGGCGGUUUUGGAUGGACUGGCGGCCUAUUAGCUAGUUGGUGGGGUAGUGGCCUACCAAGGCGGCGACGGGUAGCCGGACUGAGAGGGUGACCGGCCACACUGGGACCGAGAGAAGGCCCAGGUUGCGACGGGUGGAAGAAGGGGGGAAGAUUGAACAAGGGGCGCAAGGCGGAUGCAGAAGGGCCGCGGGCGGGAAGACGGCCUUAGGGUUGAAGAACGGCUUUAGCAGGGACGAAGCUUGUUGUGACGGUACCUGCAGAAGAAGCACCGGCUAACUACGUG